RNAcentral lists this ribosomal RNA (524 nucleotides) under uncultured Glomus. RNAcentral describes it as "SSU rRNA". It matches the Rfam family "Eukaryotic small subunit ribosomal RNA", at positions 569 to 1092 of the family's 1831-position model. Lineage: Eukaryota; Fungi; Glomeromycota; Glomeromycetes; Glomerales; Glomeraceae. The record is from RNAcentral.
AGGAACCGCGCGGUAAUUCCAGCUCCAAUAGCGUAUAUUAAAGUUGUUGCAGUUAAAAAGCUCGUAGUUGAAUUUCGGGGUUAGUAGGUCGGUCGUGCCACUGGUAUGUACUGGUUCUACUGAUCCCUCCUUCUUGUAGGACCGUAAUGCCAUUUACUUGGUGUUGCGGGGAAACAGGACUGUUACUUUGAAAAAAUUAGAGUGUUUAAAGCAAGCUAACGCUUGAAUACAUUAGCAUGGAAUAAUGAAAUAGGACGUUCGAUCCUAUUUUGUUGGUUUCUAGGAUUGACGUAAUGAUUAAUAGGGAUAGUUGGGGGUAUUAGUAUUCAAUUGUCAGAGGUGAAAUUCUUGGAUUUAUUGAAGACUAACUACUGCGAAAGCAUUUGCCAAGGAUGUUUUCAUUAAUCAAGGACGAAAGUUAGGGGAUCGAAGACGAUCAGAUACCGUUGUAGUCUUAACCAUAAACUAUGCCGACUAGGGAUCGGAUGAUGUUAAUUUUUUAAUGACUCAUUCGGCGCCUUACG